RNAcentral lists this long non-coding RNA (1945 nucleotides) under Zea mays. RNAcentral describes it as "long non-coding RNA (ZMAY_LNC001107)". The record is from RNAcentral. Lineage: Eukaryota; Viridiplantae; Streptophyta; Magnoliopsida; Poales; Poaceae.
CUUUUUAUAAAAGGGUGUCAAGGAAGGGUAAUCAAUUUUCAAGGAAGAAAAUGCAUCAACGGUUUAGCACACAACUCCUAUCACCUAAUGCAUCAUACAAGGUGAUAAAGAUUUUACAAUAGCAAGGAGGUGGCAAAUGCACCAGGGCUUGCCUGGAUAACACUAGGUUAGUGUUGUUAGACGAUGUCCGCUUGAUGACCAUCUUUUGUCCUAGCACUUGAUCCGGCAGGUUCGUCCACCAGCAUCACUAUGCGGAGUAGUCCACCUGUUACGUCAUCUUGGGGUCGACUCAGCUCGUGAUUAAUAAGCGUACCUAAAUGAUUUGCAUAAUGCACAUGAAUGCAUAUAAACAGGAAUAACAUAAAUCUAAAUAGUGCUACGCGAUAGCGAAUUAAACACCUAGUGAUGAGGCGCUGUACAAUUUCAUACGGAGACACUAGUUUCGUCGUACGACUACGUGCAAUAGUUGUGCCUUUCUAGCUUAACCAAAUCUAAUUCAAACAUCAUAGAGUUCUACAAAACGAUCUUCUAAACAACCAAAGAUCUAACCCGCUUAUGCGCAUUCUCCACUAAUAGUCCUUGGGUUUUCACAGGAAUAGACUUAUCGAUGUUCUUCGCUUCCUAAAUAUUUUGUGUAACCACCAUUAUAUAUUUAUAACACUUAACCAGUCAACAAACAUAGAGUUUUUCAUAAGAUCAUAAUUUAGAUCUCUAAGAGUUAAAUCCUUAAGGUGUAAAGCUUACUAUGUAGUUCUCAGAAUUCACCUAAGGCGAACCUUAUGGUGAUACUUGCUCUAAACUAAUUAAAAUAUUGAUGAACAUUUAUUCAUGACAAUUUACUUAAGUGACCAAAUUCAAAUAUGACAUUUAAUUGAUCGAUAAACAUGGAAUUCGACAACUACUAAGGUGAUGCACCAUUCCACCACUUAAUCAAAAUUAGCAUAAUCAAUUUUUAAAAGAACCUAUCGACUAGUCGUUAGAGACACUAGACCUAUUCCUCAUAUUAUUACUUCGACCACUCAUCGGGUACGAAACACCGAUUUAAUUCUUCUCGCAUAACCUGUGUCAUUAAACCUAAACUUAGCUACGCGAAAUGAGACGCCUCUAUAAGCAUUUUAUGCAUCAUUAUACUAUAAAAAGAAAACAAAGGAAGGGAGAUCCUUCCAAAGACGCUUUAGAGGAUCAGCAAGUAACAGGUACGACUACCGAUCUGGAAAUUGUCACACAAUGUGCCUAUGCUAACAACAAGAAAAAUCAUUGUGGCUAUAUAACUAUCCAAUUAAAUUAACUGAAAUAAUAAAUUGGCUCACCACGAUCGAAUCGAUUUGAUAACCGCGAGGGCGACGACGGCUCUCAGUUUAGACAUCCGGUCGAGCUCCUUGCACUUGUUGCACGGACUUCUCUCACAUUUUUAUUGAACUCCAGGAUCACUCUCCGAAAGACAAAAUCGACGAUGAGCCCCAUGGAGUAAACGAUGAUGUUGCUGCACCCACCACAUGGAGACGAACGAUGGCAACGCCACAAUGGCACGAGCUGAAAGGCUUGGCCGAGACGGAGUCCAAACGGGUUGACGAUGAGCCAGGCCGCGACAGAUCAAGGCUGAGGCGCAGUAGUUCCAAAUUAAAUUAGGAGGAGACCGGCAAGCUGAUGGCGCUGGUUCUUGGAAAUCGGCGACGAGGCGAGCCAGCGCGAGGGUCAGGGACAAGUAGGGCGCAAGGACGCGCGACACCAUGGCAAGCUGGUCGGCCAUGGACGAGCAGGAAACAUCAGGGAGCAGCGACGGAUGUGCACGACCUGGGUACCAGAGGAGAGCUCGCGCCGCAGGGAGGAACCUCGGCUAGGUCUAGUUGGGAAAGAUGCGAGUCGCGGGGCGAGCAGACAGGAAGCGCUGGCGGGAACUCGAUCAGGCCGACAUCGAGCUGCAAAAAUGAACAGGGCGGUGUCC